CGGACGGGUGAGUAACGCGUGAGAAUCUGCCAUCAGGUCUGGGACAACCACUGGAAACGGUGGCUAAUACCGGAUGUGCCCGUAAUUGGGUGAAAGGUUAACUGCCUGUUGAUGAGCUCGCGUCUGAUUAGCUAGUUGGAAGUGUAAUGGACUCCCAAGGCGACGAUCAGUAGCUGGUCUGAGAGGACGAUCAGCCACACUGGGACUGAGACACGGCCCAGACUCCUACGGGAGGCAGCAGUGGGGAAUUUUCCGCAAUGGGCGUAAGCCUGACGGAGCAAUACCGCGUGAGGGAGGAAGGCUCUUGGGUCGUAAACCUCUUUUCUCAGGGAAGAACACAAUGACGGUACCUGAGGAAUAAGCAUCGGCUAACUCCGUGCCAGCAGCCGCGGUAAUACGGAGGAUGCAAGCGUUAUCCGGAAUGAUUGGGCGUAAAGCGUCCGCAGGUGGCAAUGUAAGUCUGCUGUUAAAGAGUCUAGCUCAACUAGAUAAGAGCAGUGGAAACUACAUAGCUAGAGUACGUUCGGGGCAGAGGGAAUUCCUGGUGUAGCGGUGAAAUGCGUAGAGAUCAGGAAGAACACCAGUGGCGAAGGCGCUCUGCUAGGCCGUAACUGACACUGAGGGACGAAAGCUAGGGGAGCGAAUGGGAUUAGAUACCCCAGUAGUC
Molecule: ribosomal RNA, 667 nt
Filed under: uncultured cyanobacterium
Lineage: Bacteria; Bacillati; Cyanobacteriota
Description: bacterial SSU rRNA
Rfam family: Bacterial small subunit ribosomal RNA
Source: RNAcentral